This is a non-coding RNA of Merluccius polli (Benguela hake), 72 nucleotides long. Lineage: Eukaryota; Metazoa; Chordata; Actinopteri; Gadiformes; Merlucciidae. The record is from the annotation of a GenBank genome assembly.
GGCUCGUUGGUCUAGGGGUUUGAUUCUCGCAGUAGGGUGGAGAGGUCCCGGGUUCAAAUCCCGGACGAGCCC